GAUGAACGCUGGCGGCGUGCCUAAUACAUGCAAGUCGAACGAAACUUCUUUAUCACCGAGUGCUUGCACUCACCGAUAAAGAGUUGAGUGGCGAACGGGUGAGUAACACGUGGGCAACCUGCCCAAAAGAGGGGGAUAACACUUGGAAACAGGUGCUAAUACCGCAUAACCAUAGUUACCGCAUGGUAACUAUGUAAAAGGUGGCUAUACUACCGCUUUUGGAUGGGCCCGCGGCGCAUUAGCUAGUUGGUAGGGUAAAGGCUUACCAAGGCAAUGAUGCGUAGCCGAAUUGAGAGGUUGAUCGGCCACAUUGGGACUGAGACACGGCCCAAACUCCUACGGGAGGCAGCAGUAGGGAAUCUUCCACAAUGGGCGAAAGCCUGAUGAAGCAACGCCGCGUGGGUGAAGAAGGUCUUCGGAUCGUAAAACCCUGUUGUUAGAGAAGAAAGUGCGUGAGAGUAACUGUUCACGUUUCGACGGUAUCUAACCAGAAAGCCACGGCUAACUACGUG
This 512-nucleotide ribosomal RNA is filed under the name uncultured bacterium. Its description in RNAcentral is "partial 16S ribosomal RNA". It matches the Rfam family "Bacterial small subunit ribosomal RNA", at positions 28 to 507 of the family's 1533-position model. The record is from RNAcentral.